Molecule: ribosomal RNA, 2021 nt
Filed under: human gut metagenome
Description: bacterial LSU rRNA
Rfam family: Bacterial large subunit ribosomal RNA
Source: RNAcentral
GGACCAUCCUCCAAGGCUAAAUACUCGUGAUCGACCGAUAGCGUACUAGUACUGUGAAGGAAAGGUUAAAAGAACCCCGGGAGGGGAGUGAAAUAGAUUCUGAAACCGCAUGCAUACAAACAGUAGGAGCCCUUCGGGGUGACUGCGUACCUUUUGCAUAAUGGGUCAGCGACUUAUGUUAUGUGGCAAGCCUAACCGAUUAGGGGAGGCGCAGCGAAAGCGAGUCCGAACAGGGCGAUUCAGUCGCAUGGCAUAGACCCGAAACCAGAUGAGCUAACCAUGGCCAGGCUGAAGGUGUGGUAACACACACUGGAGGGCCGAACCUACUGGUGUUGCAAAACCAGAGGAUGAGCUGUGGUUAGGGGUGAAAGGCUUAACAAAUCUGGAGAUAGCUGGUUCUCCCCGAAAACUAUUGAGGUAGUGCCUUGCGCAUGAGCUUCUGGGGGUAGAGCACUGUUAUAGCUAGGGGGACAUGGCGUCUUACCAAACUAUGGCAAACUCCGAAUACCAGAAAGCUUCGCGCAGGAGACAGAGCACCGGGUGCUAACGUCCGGACUCAAAAGGGAAUCAACCCAGACCGCCAGCUAAGGUCCCUAAUAUCAGCUAAGUGGAAAACGAAGUGGAAAGGCUAAAACAGUCAGGAAGUUGGCUUAGAAGCAGCCAUCCUUCAAAGAAAGCGUAAUAGCUCACUGAUCGAGUCCUUCCGCGCGGAAGAUGUAACGGGGCUAAGUUGAUAACCGAAGCUGCGGAUUCACACUUUGAGUGUGAGUGGUAGGGGAGCGUUCUGUAAGCCUGUGAAGGUGGAUCGUAAGGUCUGCUGGAGGUAUCAGAAGUGCGAAUGCUGACAUGAGUAACGAUAAAGCGGGUGAAAAGCCCGCUCGCCGCAAACCCAAGGUUUCCUGCUCUACGUUAAUCGGAGCAGGGUGAGUCGGUUCCUAAGGCCAGGCUGAGAAGCGUAGCUGAUGGAAAUCAGGUUAAUAUUCCUGAACCGGCGUUGAAUGCGAUGGGGUGACGGAGCAGCCAGAGUGGACCGGGUGUUGGAUGUCCCGGCUUCCGAGCGAUGGGUGCCUGCAGGCAAAUCCGCAGGCGUAUACCCAGGACGAAGGAUCGGGCCUUCUUUUGAAGGCGAAGCCACUGGAAGCGCUUCCAGGAAAAACCUCUAAGCUUCAGUUCAACGGCGACCGUACCGUAAACCGACACAGGUGGGUGAGCUGAAUAUGCUCAGGCGCUUGAGAGAACUCGGGAGAAGGAACUCGGCAAAUUGACACCGUAACUUCGGAAGAAGGUGUGCCUUUGUAGCUUGAUGGGAGAGAAACCCAAAGGGCGAAGAGGUCUCAGAGAAUCGGUGGCUGUAACUGUUUACUAAAAACACAGCGCUCUGCAAAGAUGAAAGUCGACGUAUAGGGCGUGAUGCCUGCCCGGUGCUGGAAGAUUAAUUGAUGGGGUGCAAGCUCCUGAUCGAAGUCCCAGUAAACGGCGGCCGUAACUAUAACGGUCCUAAGGUAGCGAAAUUCCUUGUCGGGCAAGUUCCGACCUGCACGAAUGGCAUAAUAAUGGCCACACUGUCUCCUCCCGAGACUCAGUGAAAUUGAAAUGUUUGUGAUGAUGCAAUCUCCCCGCGGCUAGACGGAAAGACCCCAUGAACCUUAACUGUAGCUUUGCAUUGGACUUUGAACCGAUCUGUGUAGGAUAGGCGGGAGGCUUUGAAGAAUGGACGCCAGUUCAUUCGGAGCCGUCGUUGAAAUACCGCCCUGAUUUGUUUGAGGUUCUAACCUGGGCCAGUAAUCCUGGCUGGGGACCGUGCAUGGUGGGCAGUUUGACUGGGGCGGUCUCCUCCUAAAGGGUAACGGAGGAGUGCGAAGGUACGCUAAUCACGGUCGGAAAUCGUGAGGAUACUGCAAUGGGAAAAGCGUGCCUGACUGCGAGACAGACAAGUCGAGCAGAUGCGAAAGCAGGUCAUAGUGAUCCGGUGGCUUCUGUAUGGAAGGGCCAUCGCUCAACGGAUAAAAGGUACUCUGGGG